Helianthus annuus (common sunflower) is the source of this 705-nucleotide long non-coding RNA. RefSeq lists it as uncharacterized. The transcript is spliced from 4 exons. Lineage: Eukaryota; Viridiplantae; Streptophyta; Magnoliopsida; Asterales; Asteraceae. The record is from RefSeq and is a predicted model, not a curated record.
AGGUCUGAUUGAGCAAACUCCAGUUGAGAUGGUGGGCAAAGGUCGUACGAUUGCACUUGAAUAAGAUGGAACUUGACUUGUAAUACAACCAUCCAAACCCACAUGGCUUAUUCCCUUUGGAACCUUCAAACCAACAAUGAUAAUCGUGUUGAAUAACUCGACAUAUCUAAUCAACAUUGUACAAGCAUUAUGAAUGGGCUGUUGGAACUGGAGAUGGCAAAUCUGAUAUAUUAGAUUUUCAACAGAACAAGAAGCAAUCGAACUAGCAAAUGAUACCCAGUGAGUUGUAAUUUAUUUCACUAAAAAAACUGGUUUUUUUUCUAUUUUUACAAUUCCGGUCGGCUAUGUUAUUGUAAUAGAUAUGGAUUGGGUUAUGUUGUUUCAUCCAAUGAUUAGAGUGGUGUGAUCGUGUUGCAAAGGUAUACAGACAAGUGAAGACUACAGGUUUUAUGCAAUUGCAGCUGAGUACCAAGAAUACAACAAGAAGGAUAUAACUUUAGUUUUCCAAUUCUCUGUCAUGCGUGAGCAGAAGCGUGAUUGUGGUGGUGGCUACAUGAAGUUCAGUGGUGAUGCGUGUGGAUUAAAAGAAACUGUUGAUGUGACUUCAUUUAAUAGACGUCCGGCUUAGUAUAAAUAUAAAUGUAAUUACCGUCGCAUCCCGCCGCAUCGCGGCGGGUAGUAUAUCUAGUAUAUAUAUAAUAUAUA